UACGUAGGGUGCAAGCGUUAAUCGGAAUUAUUGGGCGUAAAGCGCACGUAGGCGGCUCGUUAAGUCGGAUGUGAAAUCCCUCGGCUCAACCGAGGAAGUGCAUCCGAAACUGGCGAGCUUGAGUACGGAAGAGGGUCUCGGAAUUCCCGGUGUAGAGGUGAAAUUCGUAGAUAUCGGGAGGAACACCAGUGGCGAAGGCGGCGACCUGGGCCAAUACUGACGCUGAGGUGCGAAAGCGUGGGGAGCAAACAGG
RNAcentral lists this ribosomal RNA (253 nucleotides) under uncultured bacterium. RNAcentral describes it as "partial 16S ribosomal RNA". It matches the Rfam family "Bacterial small subunit ribosomal RNA", at positions 524 to 776 of the family's 1533-position model. The record is from RNAcentral.